GAGUUGGGCCUGCUCGGUGAAACGUUUUAACAGCUGCGGUAUUUUAACUGUACUAAGGUAGCAUAAUAAUUUGCCUUAUAAUUUGAGGCUAGAAUGAAUGGUUUGACGAAGGUUAAUCUGUCUCUGCUUUAUUUUUUAGAAAUUAAUUUUCAUAGUGAAAAAGCUUGAAUUUCUUAAGGGGACGAGAAGACCCUACUGAGCUUAUAAUUUUAUUAUCACAUAUAUUUAUGUAUAAUGUGCUAUAUAAAUUUUAAUUGGGGUGAUUAAGGAAUAAUAUAGCUAUUUUAUAACUUCCUUAGAUAUUAUAUUGUUGAAUUAAGUAACCGAUUAAUUAAUAGAAUUGUAUUAUGUAUUGCUUAUAAUAUAGUUACCAUAGGGAUAACAGCGUAAUUUACUUAGAGAGUUCUUAUUGAAAAGUAAGAUUGCGACCUCGAUGUUGGAUUAAAGUAACCUUAAGGUGCAGAAGCUUUAUAAGGUAAAUCUGUUCGAUUUUUAAAACUUU
Molecule: ribosomal RNA, 502 nt
Filed under: Uroteuthis chinensis
Lineage: Eukaryota; Metazoa; Mollusca; Cephalopoda; Myopsida; Loliginidae
Description: partial 16S ribosomal RNA
Rfam family: Bacterial large subunit ribosomal RNA
Source: RNAcentral